UGAGGAAUAUUGGACAAUGGGGGAAACCCUGAUCCAGCCAUGCCGCGUGAGUGAUGAAGGCCUUCGGGUUGUAAAGCUCUUUCGGGUGUGAAAAUGAUGAUGGUAACACCAGAAGAAGCCCCGGCUAACUCCGUGCCAGCAGCCGCGGUAAUACGGAGGGGGCGAGCGUUGUUCGGAAUCACUGGGCGUAAAGCGUGCGUAGGCGGUUAUACAAGUCAGAAGUGAAAUCCCAGGGCUCAACCUUGGAAUUGCUUUUGAGACUGUAUGACUAGAGAUCUAGAGAGGUUGGGGGAAUUCCGAGUGUAGAGGUGAAAUUCGCAGAUAUUCGGAGGAACACCAGUGGCGUAGGCGCCCAACUGGCUAGAUACUGACGCUGAGGCACGAAAGCGUGGGGAGCAAACAGG
RNAcentral lists this ribosomal RNA (404 nucleotides) under uncultured bacterium. Its description in RNAcentral is "bacterial SSU rRNA". It matches the Rfam family "Bacterial small subunit ribosomal RNA", at positions 355 to 776 of the family's 1533-position model. The record is from RNAcentral.